ACGUAGGGGGCAAGCGUUGUCCGGAUUUAUUGGGCGUAAAGAGCUCGUAGGCGGUUGGGCAAGUCACGUGUGAAAUCUCCACGCUCAACGUGGAGGCGCCACGUGAGACUGCCCUGACUCGAGUCCGGUAGGGGAGCGUGGAAUUCCCGGUGUAGCGGUGAAAUGCGCAGAGAUCGGGAGGAACACCGAUGGCGAAGGCGGCAUCCUGGACCAACACUGACACUGAGGAGCGAAAGCCAGGGGAGCAAACGGGA
Molecule: ribosomal RNA, 254 nt
Filed under: uncultured prokaryote
Description: partial 16S ribosomal RNA
Rfam family: Bacterial small subunit ribosomal RNA
Source: RNAcentral